Long non-coding RNA from Onychomys torridus (southern grasshopper mouse), 529 nucleotides. RefSeq lists it as uncharacterized. The record is from RefSeq and is a predicted model, not a curated record. NCBI's taxonomy places the organism in Eukaryota, Metazoa, Chordata, Mammalia, Rodentia, Cricetidae. The transcript is spliced from 4 exons.
UUACUGGUUUGAUUUUCCAAUGAAGCCAACAUCUGAAACAAAAUUGACUGUGCUUUGUUCUUUAAACAGUGUAUACCAAUAUUAAAAUCAGACAUGGUGAAAAGUGUUUUUCUCUGAACAGUUUUUGGAGACUUUUUUGGAUUUGGCAUAUGAGAAGUGGAUGUGAUUGUCAUUGCUGGAAAAACAAGUGUAUACCAAUAUUAAAAUCAGACAUGGUGAAAAGUGUUUUUCUCUGAACAGUUUUUGGAGACUUUUUUGGAUUUGGCAUAUGAGAAGUGGAUGUGAUUGUCAUUGCUGGAAAAACAAGUGUAUACCAAUAUUAAAAUCAGACAUGGUGAAAAGUGUUUUUCUCUGAACAGUUUUUGGAGACUUUUUUGGAUUUGGCAUAUGAGAAGUGGAUGUGAUUGUCAUUGCUGGAAAAACAAGUGUAUACCAAUAUUAAAAUCAGACAUGGUGAAAAGUGUUUUUCUCUGAACAGUUUUUGGAGACUUUUUUGGAUUUGGCAUAUGAGAAGUGGAUGUGAUUGUCA